This is a long non-coding RNA of Telopea speciosissima, 240 nucleotides long. RefSeq lists it as uncharacterized. Lineage: Eukaryota; Viridiplantae; Streptophyta; Magnoliopsida; Proteales; Proteaceae. The transcript is spliced from 2 exons. The record is from RefSeq and is a predicted model, not a curated record.
UUGAAUUCUGAACUCUGAAGUGUAAAGCAUCUGCUGAUCAUGUGCAUAAAUACAGGCAAACUCAUGAAUUUGACUUUAGCACACCAGGUAUCUAUUUCACAUGCAGACUUGGGAGGAAAACUCAACACUAAGUAUUUUACUGAAAUGCAAUACAAAAAGUUGUAAAACAAUAUUCAUUUCAAAAUUCAGGAUGAUUUCUCAAAAUAGUGAUGGUAUCUUGAUCAUUGGUACUCUUGACAC